RNAcentral lists this ribosomal RNA (255 nucleotides) under uncultured bacterium. Its description in RNAcentral is "partial 16S ribosomal RNA". It matches the Rfam family "Bacterial small subunit ribosomal RNA", at positions 99 to 354 of the family's 1533-position model. The record is from RNAcentral.
CGGACGGGUGAGUAACGCGUGGGGAACCUGCCUUGCACCGGGGGAUAACACUUAGAAAUAGGUGCUAAUACCGCAUAAGCGCACAGAGCCGCAUGGCUCGGUGUGAAGAACUCCGGUGGUGCAAGAUGGACCCGCGUCUGAUUAGCUGGUUGGCGGGGUAACGGCCCACCAAGGCGACGAUCAGUAGCCGGCCUGAGAGGGUGAACGGCCACAUUGGGACUGAGACACGGCCCAAACUCCUACGGGAGGCAGCAG